Molecule: ribosomal RNA, 396 nt
Filed under: uncultured bacterium
Lineage: Bacteria
Description: partial 16S ribosomal RNA
Rfam family: Bacterial small subunit ribosomal RNA
Source: RNAcentral
AUACGUAGGGGGCGAGCGUUGUCCGGAAUGAUUGGGCGUAAAGGGCGCGUAGGCGGCCCGGUAAGUCUGGAGUGAAAGUCCUGCUUUUAAGGUGGGAAUUGCUUUGGAUACUGUCGGGCUUGAGUGCAGGAGAGGUAAGUGGAAUUCCCAGUGUAGCGGUGAAAUGCGUAGAGAUUGGGAGGAACACCAGUGGCGAAGGCGACUUACGGGACUGUAACUGACGCUGAGGCGCGAAAGUGUGGGGAGCAAACAGGAUUAGAUACCCUGGUAGUCCACACUGUAAACGAUGAAUGCUAGGUGUAGGGGUUGUCAUGACCUCUGUGCCGCCGCUAACGCAUUAAGUAUUCCGCCUGGGGAGUACGGUCGCAAGAUUAAAACUCAAAGGAAUUGACGGGG